CGAACGAACCCCUUGUGGGUGAGUGGCGCACGGGUGCGUAACACGUGGGAACCUACCCUUCGGUACGGAAUAACCAUUGGAAACGAUGGCUAAUACCGUAUAGUCCCUUCGGGGUAAAGAUUUAUCGCCGUUGGAUGGGCCCGCGUCUGAUUAGCUUGUUGGUAAGGUAACGGCUUACCAAGGCAACGAUCAGUAGCUGGUCUGAGAGGAUGAUCAGCCACACUGGGACUGAGACACGGCCCAGACUCCUACGGGAGGCAGCAGUAGGGAAUAUUGCACAAUGGAGGAAACUCUGAUGCAGCCAUGCCGCGUGAGUGAAGAAGGCCUUCGGGUUGUAAAGCUCUUUUAACUGUGAAGAUAAUGACGGUAGCAGUAGAAAAAGCCCCGGCUAACUUCGUGCCAGCAGCCGCGGUAAUACGAAGGGGGCAAGCGUUGUUCGGAAUUACUGGGCGUAAAGCGUGCGUAGGCGGUUAUUCAAGUUGGAAGUGAAAUCCCAGGGCUCAACCCUGGAACUGCUUUCAAAACUGUUUAACUAGAAUCUCGGAGAGGAUAGCGGAAUUUCCAGUGUAGAGGUGAAAUUCGUAGAUAUUGGAAGGAACAUCAGUGGCGUAGGCGGCUAUCUGGACGAGUAUUGACGCUAAGGCACGAAAGUGUGGGGAGCAAACAGGAUUAGAUACCCUGGUAGUCCACACCGUAAACGAUGUGUGCUAGUUGUCAGGCAGUUUACUGUUUGGUGACGCAGCUAACGCAUUAAGCACACCGCCUGGGGAGUACGGCCGCAAGGUUAAAACUCAAAGGAAUUGACGGGGACCCGCACAAGCGGUGGAGCAUGU
Molecule: ribosomal RNA, 833 nt
Filed under: uncultured bacterium
Lineage: Bacteria
Description: bacterial SSU rRNA
Rfam family: Bacterial small subunit ribosomal RNA
Source: RNAcentral